Small nucleolar RNA from Phoenix dactylifera (date palm), 106 nucleotides. The record is from RefSeq and is a predicted model, not a curated record. Lineage: Eukaryota; Viridiplantae; Streptophyta; Magnoliopsida; Arecales; Arecaceae.
UGUUGAAGCAGUGAAGAUAUUGCUCUUUAAAACCCAGCUCAUUAUGAGGUCUUCCAUCCAUUGGAAGGUCAAGGAACAGAGUUCAUAUUGAUAUCUGAGAUUAACA